Molecule: long non-coding RNA, 648 nt
Filed under: Olea europaea subsp. europaea
Lineage: Eukaryota; Viridiplantae; Streptophyta; Magnoliopsida; Lamiales; Oleaceae
Source: RNAcentral
GUCAAAUAAAAAGUCACUUCUAUCAUUCAUCUAAAAUAUUAUAUAUAAACGGUGUGAGCACAAGCUCCAUUCCAAUUCCCUGGUAACAAACAUGAAUAAAAAAGACAAACCAAAAUUCUACUAUGCUUUGGCUAGAAUUUUUGUACUGUAAGAAUUAUCGUGCAACCACCUACACCAACAAACCAAUCACCUCACCAGCAUCGCCACCACCGCAUAGCAUUGAUAAACCUCGACACCACAACUAACAUGAUGAAAAGAAAACAAAGGUAAAUAAGAAAUAAACCCAAAUUUCCCCAUAUGAACUAAUCGAGUGUUUCACAUAACUACUGAAAACUUUUCAAAACAUUGUUCCGACAUCAGAUCCAUCACGAAAAGGUCUACCCAAAAUCUCCCAAAAUGGUACCCAAAUCGAAAAUCCAUACUAUUUUCGCGAACACCGGUGCCGCAACAGAGCUGCAGCAGUACAAAGCGGCCACCAUGGUCAGCGGCGUGAGCGCCACGCAACUGCAUCCCUCACGCUACCAUAGUAAUGUUAUCACCGCAAUUGUUCCCCUCCUUUUCGAUGGUUGUGAGAGAGAGAGAGGGGGAAGGCGUUGUGGUAGAGUGUGAGAAAGAAGUGAAAUUUUGUUUAGGAUUUGAGGGUGUGGA